RNAcentral lists this small RNA (78 nucleotides) under Serratia sp. Ag1. RNAcentral's name for it is "isrK". The record is from RNAcentral. Lineage: Bacteria; Pseudomonadati; Pseudomonadota; Gammaproteobacteria; Enterobacterales; Yersiniaceae. RNAcentral also lists the same sequence under 1 other name.
GUUGCGGCAAAAUCCGCAACCGGAAUUGGCGUUCCGAAUCCCCUGACGGUUCUCAAAUACGCACACAGAGUGUAUUUG